CGGCGGACGGGUGAGUAACGCGUGGGAACAUACCCUUUGGUACGGAAUAGCCUCGGGAAACUGGGAGUAAUACCGUAUGUGUCCUUUCACUGUAGUGGUGAGGGGAGAAAGAUUUAUCGCCAAAGGAUUGGCCCGCGUUGGAUUAGGUAGUUGGUGGGGUAAUGGCCUACCAAGCCGACGAUCCAUAGCUGGUUUGAGAGGAUGAUCAGCCACACUGGGACUGAGACACGGCCCAG
This 236-nucleotide ribosomal RNA is filed under the name uncultured bacterium. RNAcentral's name for it is "partial 16S ribosomal RNA". It matches the Rfam family "Bacterial small subunit ribosomal RNA", at positions 96 to 334 of the family's 1533-position model. The record is from RNAcentral.